CGUGAAUUCAUCUCCGGGGGUAGAGCACUGUUUCGGCUAGGGGGCCAUCCCGGCUUACCAACCCGAUGCAAACUGCGAAUACCGGAGAAUGUUAUCACGGGAGACACACGGCGGGUGCUAACGUCCGUCGUGAAGAGGGAAACAACCCAGACCGCCAGCUAAGGUCCCAAAGUCAUGGUUAAGUGGGAAACGAUGUGGGAAGGCCCAGACAGCCAGGAUGUUGGCUUAGAAGCAGCCAUCAUUUAAAGAAAGCGUAAUAGCUCACUGGUCGAGUCGGCCUGCGCGGAAGAUGUAACGGGGCUAAACCAUG
RNAcentral lists this ribosomal RNA (310 nucleotides) under Salmonella enterica subsp. enterica serovar Oranienburg. Its description in RNAcentral is "partial 23S ribosomal RNA". It matches the Rfam family "Bacterial large subunit ribosomal RNA", at positions 883 to 1191 of the family's 2925-position model. Lineage: Bacteria; Pseudomonadati; Pseudomonadota; Gammaproteobacteria; Enterobacterales; Enterobacteriaceae. RNAcentral also lists the same sequence under 1 other name. The record is from RNAcentral.